UAUGGUAGUCCUGUUUUUAGUUUUUUGAAGAAUCUCCAUACUGUUUUCCAUAGUGGCUGCACUGAUUUAUGUUUCCACCAACAGUGGACGAGGGUUCCCUUUUCUCAGAUUCUUACAGAUAGGCUUUCUGAUGAUGGCCAUUCUGCUGUGUCUGAGGUGCUCUCUCAUAGUGGUUUUGAUUUACAUUUAUCUGAGGAUUAGUGACGUUGAGCAUCAUUUCAUGUGCCUGUUGGCCAUGUGUAUCUGUUGUGUGGAAUCAUGUCUUUCCACUUCAUAAUCAGGUUAAUAUUAUGUUUUAUGAGCUGUUUAUGUAUUUUUUGAUAUUAACCCAAUAGGUCAUAUCAUUUGCACAUAUUUUCUCCCAUUCAAUGGGUUAUUUUUUCAUUGUAUUGAUGGUUUCCUUUGCUGUGCAAAGUCUUUUAAGUAGAGCCCCCCUUUUUUUUUUUACCUUUGAUUUUGCUUCCCUUGCUGAGAAAAUAGAGCCAAAAAAAUAUUGCUAAAAUUUUUUAUCAAAGAGUAUUCUGCCUAUGUUUCCUUCUAGGAGUUUUAUAGUUUUAGUUUUAGGUCUUAUAUUUGUAUCUUUAAUAUGUUUUAUUUUUGUAUAAUAAAAAUGUGAGAAAAUGUUCUAAUUUCAUUCUUUUAAAUAUAGCUGUCCAGUUUGCAUAGCACCACUUAUUGAAGGGACUGUCUUUUCUCAAUUGUAUAUUCUUGUCUCCUUUGUCAUAGAUUAAUUGACCAAAAUUACAUGGAUCUAUGUGACUGUCUAUUCUGUUCCAUUGAUCUAUGUGUCUGUUUGUACUAGUACUCUGCUGUUUUGAUGCUAUACCUCUGUAGUAUAGUCCGAAGGAAGUGACCAUGAUACUUCCAGCUUUGCUUUUAUCCCUUGUUUUGGAAAAUCAGAGUCUUUAGUGUUUCCAUAUAAAUUUUAGGAUUAUUUGUUCUAAUUCUGUAAAAAAUGUCAUAGGUAUUUUGAUAAGGAUUUCAGUGAGUCUGUAGAUUCCUUUGGGUAUUAGUAUGGACAUUUUUAAUAAUGUUUAAUUCUUUCAAUCCAUGUAUUAUGAAUAUUUUUCCAUUUUUUGGUAUGAUCUCCAAUUUCCUCCUUCAGUGUCUUAAAGUUUUCAGAGUAUAGGUCUUUCACCUCUCUGGUUAAAUUUAUUCCUGGUAUUCUGUUCCUUCUGAUGUGAUUUUAAAUGGGAUUGUUUACUUCCUUUCUCUCUCUGAUAGUUCGCCAUUAGUGGGUACAGGAAAACAACAUAUUUCUGUAUAUUAAUCUUGUUUACUGCAACUUUACUGAACUCAUAAGUUUUAGUAGUUUUUUGUGGAUAUUUUUGGGUUUUCUAUAUAUAGUAUCAUGUCAACUGCAAAUGAUGACAGUUUUACUUCUUCCCUUCCAAUUUGGAUCCCUUUAAUUUCUUGUCUGCUGUGGUUAGGACUCAAUACUAUAUUAAAUACAGGUGGCUAGAAUGGGCAUCCUUAUCUUCUUUAGGAUUUUGGAAGAAAAGUUUUCAGCUUUUCACUGUUGAGUAUGCUCUCUCACAAUGAUGAGAGCAUUUUAUCAUGAAUGGAUUUUGAGUUUUGCCAAAUGCUCUGUCUGCAUCUGUUGAGAUGAUAAUGUGAGUUUUACCCUUCCUUUGGUUAAUGCUGUGUAUCACAUUGAUUGAUUUGCAGAUACUGAACCAUCCUUGCAUCUCUGGCAUAAAUCCCACUUCAUGGUAUAUGAUCCUUUUUAUAUAUUGAAUUUUAUUUGUUUGCUAUUUUUUGAGGAUUUCUGCAUCUAUAUUCACCAGAUAUAUUGGCCUGUACUUUUCUUUUUUAAAAAAAAUAUUAUCUUCAUUUGGGUUUAGUAUCAGGGUAAUAUUUUCCUCCCCUUCAAUUUUUUGGAAUAGUUUGAGAAGGCUACGUGUUCUCUCUUUAUGUUGGGCAGAAUUCUCUUGGGAAGCUGUCUGGUCUCAAAUUUUUUUUUUCUGGGGUUUUUAAAUUAUAAAUUUAACUUCACUACUGGCAAUCGGUCUGUUUGGAUUAUCUGUUUCUUCCUGAUUCAGUUUGGUAUUCUGUAUGUUUCUACAAAUUUGUCCAUUUCUUCUAGGUUGUUCAGUUUGUUGGCAUACAACUAUUUAUAGUUUCUCUUAGGAUUUUUUUCCCUGUAUUUCUGUGAUCCUGGUGAUAGGGACUGGAAACUGUGGCUGAAGUAUGUUUCACAAAGGAGGGUCUGAAAGGAACAAUUCAGUUUAGGAUGGUAAUUGUCCAGGAAGUGGCAACUGUUUCUUCCUUUGGGAUCUGCUUCACAGUUUCCAUUCCCAGAAGGUUGUUGUUGGUACUCCAUGCAUGAAAUGCUAGUUGUAGAUCAGAAGAAAGAUUCAAAAUGUGAAAGAAAAGAAAAACAUAUUGACUCUCUUUACAAGUCUUGGAAGAAAUUCUAGAAAAUCUGCCUUUAUCUCUUUGGCCAGAAUUUCAUCCCAUGCCCUCUUCUACCCCCUUAGAGAGGAUCAAAAAUAGUCUUUUAGAUGAGCACAUUGUCACGUGAUAGAGGUAACUUUUCAGCAUUGCCAUCUUUCAGAAGAAAAAAAAAAAUCCCAUAAAGUCUUACUGAAAUGUAUUACAGGUAUAGAGAUGUAAGAAUCACAGACAAAUCAUUUGGCUAUUUUGGCUUAUGUCACUUUCCCCAACAACACUUUACUAUGAACCCCCCCUAUUCCUUCCAAAAACUUUUUAUAAAGCCAGAGCUUCCAACUUGUGACUUUUCCUGCUGUACACAGACCUCUGGAACUGUCCAGUAAGUGGCAACUGUUUCUUCCUUGGGAUCUGCUUCGCAGUUCCUGCCUGGUUCCCCCUCAGUUCUUUGAGGGACUCAAGUGACUGAUCAGCUAGGUAGAAAGCUGGAGAACAAGAAUAAGGACUGCAGCCAUUUAUCAUGUGCUAGGAGCUUCUGUUAAAUAACUAAUUUUUAUAACAACAUAUUGAAGAAGCUGUCAUCUCAUUAUCACCAAUGAGGGAAUUCAGGCUCAAGCGACUGUAGUCAACAGCCCAAAUCUUGUUUAAGCAGUGCCUGUAUUAUUUGUGGCUUCUACAUGUAUUCCCUUGUGCCUUCUUUCAUUCAGUAUUUCAUUAUGUUCUCAUGAAAGCUCAAUGAGAAUAUAAAUGACAGGUUUGGAUUACAACCAGGGUCAAACAGUCAAGAAAGUCCACUUCCUUCAGCUGUCUCUGAAGCUACAAGGGUUUCUAGAUCUCUUAUCAUAAAAGCCUCCUCUUGACAUGUGCUGGUUUGUCAAUGCCAUUCUGGAAAUACUGCUCAGACUUGAACCUAAUUCCUAGAUGUGGAGGAAAAGCAAAACUAAAUGAACCUCAUUUAAGACAUUCUGAAUUGUGGAUAGUCAGAUCAAAGUGGAAAACGACUCUAAUUUAAAAAGUUGAAUUACUAGCAGCAAGUGCUGAGCCUAGCACAAGUUGAAUAUGGAGAUUUUGCAAAAACUAGGGUUGCACAGUUUACUGAUGAGUUUAUUUAGCAGAAUGUGAGAACUGUCUACAGACAACUGAAGGGUUGUCAGGUGGAGUGGAUAUUUGUGUUGUCUUUAUUGCUAUAAUAACCUUCUACUAACAGUAAUAACUUAUUUAUGGAACACUUUCUAAAUAUUACCUAAGUAAAUGACUUGGAAUAUAUUUUAUCUUAAGUUUAUUAUUUUGGAAUUACUAAUUCUAUAAAACACAAAAGGCUGCUGAGGUUUGGAGAGACAGGGACACUCUCAGAGUAAGUAGUAAUAAUGAGAAUCAAGUCUGUAGCUCUGCUGACAAAACCCAAAGCAAAGAAAUUACUGAAUUUUGGACAUUUUCAUUUCUGUCCAGGGCCUCAGUUUCUCAUCUGUAAAAUAAGCAUUUUGAAUCCUGAGGUUUAUAUAAGCAGUGGUGUGCUAGAGCCCAUGUGGACUCUGAGUGCUGAUGGUUUUACUUUUGAAAAAUUUGUGAGCAGUUUUUAAACAUAGCCAUCACUGACAAGUAUACUAUAUAAAGUAUGAAUUUAACAUGACAUUAAAAUAUAAAAUAUCCCAAUUCAUCAUUUUGUAACACUUGACUUCAUUUGACUAUUAUUGAUCCUCUUUAGGGUAUUAAUAGCUGUUGCAUCUCUGUGGUGGAAAUAUUAUGAAGUGGCUGUGCUACUUCCAUCUUUUUCUAGCUUCUCAUUCAGUGGGGUCAUUUUGUAGCUUGAUAUCUGCCAGAUUUGGGAGUAUUUACACCAUGAAAAUUGGUAAAUGCUACAAAUUGAGGUUUGGUUCAUUGUUUUAUUGAUUGUAUUGGCUUAUGUAACUGAUGGAAAAUAUUCAAGUUAGAAUGUCACACCUAUAGGCAUUACAUUGGAGGUGCACAAAAAAUAAGGAAAUGUUCUAAUGUCUGGAAACUAUCGUCCAAUUCAGAAAAGAAAGCACUCAAUGUCUUUAAUGAAUGAAAGAAGUUACAACUUAGGACUUUGUUUUACUUUGUCUCCUUCAUUAACACAAAUGAAUGUUGGUGGAUAUUUUUCAUUGGUCAGGUGUGACCGUAGCUUAACUAUAAUGAAAAAUUCAGUACAGUGAAAAUAUUCAGUAAAAAUCAGUUGGCUAUAUGGAAUGUAUAAUAAAGAAUGCUAUUUUAUUAACUUGAGCUACAUAUCCUUUAUAGAAAUAGUGUAUUGUGCACACACACACACGCUUUAAGUUUGUAUAUAAAGGUAAAUAUGAUUAUAUAUACACAGAGACAUACACAUAAUAUGCUGGAGAACUGGUUCUUAAAUGUUUCCUGGCACCUAUUUAAAUUGCUUAUAAGGCCUUCCUCAUCUUUGAUAUUUUUAGGAGUCUAACCAGGACCAGAAGGUAGAGACCUCGAGAAGCCAAGCACUGUGAAAAACUAGGUCCCCGUCACUAUGCUCAUGACAAAGCCACUUCGCAGGGGAAAGGAGGAUGUGGAUGAUGUUGGAUGUUCUUCUUCCCCAAUCAGAAAGGUUCACAGCAGCUAAAGAGGAGGACACUGGUGGGAAAGGUGAGUGGGCAUUGUAUUCCCAAGGCAGUAGCCGAUGGCUCAGGAGACAUAAGAACUUACCAAGAGUCUUAUUCUUGAUAUCCCUACAUAAAUAGAAACUUUCUGGGUGGCUAGGGGCAGAAUGCAUAGCCUCUGGAGCCGAUUUCUUUCACUUACGUGUAUGCUUCCUCACUGGCUGUGCAUUUCAGGUGUUUAUGUAUUAGCCUCUCAGGUGAGUCCUCUUGGGUCUGAGGAGUAGGUCUAGCUAAAAAUGAGACUGCUCAAGAAAUUGUUGAUCGCCGUGCCUUUUGAAGGAACUCAAUACAAAUUCAAUCUGCCCUCCCCUUUAGUUCCUCAAAUUCUAGAACGGUGCAGAGAUUAUAAGAAAACCUUCUCUCAAUAUAUUCUCUCUGAGGCAUAGCCGCUCUCCACGGCUCCAUCCAUAAACACAGAGGGCUUGUCUCUUCAUUAAGAGAUGUCUUGCCAUGUUAUCUGUAUGUUGAACUGCAGUGGUGUCCUUAGAACUUCAGGACCAGAUUCAACUAAAGCAAACCAGUGAGUAUGUUUUCUUUAACUUGGUCUUGAUUCUCAUGUAACAUCAGUGAAAAGCCAAGUAGAGAGAAUUUGAGUGUAAGGAAGCUAAUUUCAAUUUAAAUGCCGACUGAAAUGCUCCAGAAAUGUUCUAAACCCAUUACGUAUACUCUCUAUUCUAACCUUCACUAUUCUAUAAAGGAAUAGACAGGCUGAGAGGUUAAGAUGGAUUACCUGAUACCAAACCAAAUACCUUUGUAGGUGGCAGACCCAAGAUCUGAGCAGCUCAUUCUUUCAUAUAAAUCUUAGUGCCUCUUUGUAGAAAGCGUCUAUUUGUAAAUAGAUAUUUCAACAUUUAUCCAUAGGAUAAACAUUCAACUGACAUUUCGUAAUUAUUUCUAGGACUAGAGUAUCAUAGUGAUGAAUUAGAGGGCAAAGGAGUAUUUUGAAAAAAAAAAAAAAGUGGAGAUUGUUUUGGUUGUUUUUCACUGCUUCAAAGACUUAGGAAAAAUAGAAACCCAAAUGGAGAGGAAACAGACCCAUUCUGAACUUGAACCCAGGUACACAUGGUAUAUUCAGCUGUUAGAGACCCCAGCUCCCCACGCCCAGGCUUUCUCUCUAACCACUGUACCCCACAGCCUCCUUGCACACGUGACCAUGUUCAGUUUCCUUCAUUCAUCAUCCACUGUCUCUAAGCUCCUCCUGGUCUUCUGGUUCUUCUCACUCUUCAUCCUUGCAGAAAACACAACACAUUCUAGCCCUCGAACCCCUAAUUUUAGUCCCUGUGGCCCCAAGAACAAGCAUGAAGGCACUAGUUUCAAUAUUGUUUUCCUUAUCUAUUCUGAAUUGGUGUCUCUAGAGCUGCUGUCACUGAGGGUAUGACAUAUAUACUCUGCCAAGAUUUAUAAGAAUCAUGACCUCACAAGAAGCCUAAGGAAGUGUUAGGCUUAAAAUCAUUCACCAGCAUGUGGCAAAUCUCCAUAGCCCUCAUAACUUCCUUAUUUAUAGAUACCUGCUGCAUUUUUUCCAAGGAGCCUUAGCUCUUAACAUCCUGUAGAGUGAUGUAUGUGAACCUCUUAUUAACUGAAAAUUAGGAACUCAAAGUAUUGCCUGGAGUUGAGAAACAAGUUCCAGAAUUGCUGAAAUGACUUUGCAUAUGCACACACACCACACCCCCAUACUCUCUCUCUGGAAUUCCGUAAUGGAGUAAACACAUUUUGAUCUAAUUAACAGUCUCAGAGAUGAUGGCAUGUAUAUUGUACUGGUACAACCUAUAAGUCAUCCUAAAUCUCUACGUUGGCAAUACUCUAUGUGCAAACUGUUCAGGACACUCUCCAAAGAGAAUUGAGCAACCUUCUUUUAGAAGGAUAGUGACAGCAUUGAUUUGCGCUUUAUGUGCUUAUAAGUGAUGGAGACAGAAAUCAUUCUGAGUCAUGUUCAGAAGGUAUGUAUACCUGCUGAGCUUUAAAAAGUGAUGGUUUGUAAGUCGACUAGUUAUUUUUCCUAAAGAUACUUUUUAAAAGUUUUGAGACACAAAAGAAAAAAAAUAAACAAAAAAGUCUCUCAAAGCAGUUACCCUUUCUUCUCUCCCUUGUGCAUUUCAAAGAAGCUAUUCAAAGCUAGUAUAUGCAAACUUAUAACCCAGGACCAUGCAACCAGCCCAACUAUCAAUUUAUGUUCUUUUUUGGAAACAGCUUGUAUUUUGCAAACCACUUUCCCUUUUAAUUAUUAUAACAAUGACUUAGAAUAAUGUUUCUCUUAACUCAGAGGCUAUAUUCUCAUUACCCACUGCAUGGCUGGUCCCUUUUUUUUCCCACCAGUAUAUGGCAUUCUACAGCAGGUAUGGGGUUUGUAUCUUUCCAGGCCAGCCUGUCUGGAAAGAGCUUUAUGGCAACACUACUGAAUAUUUUCUCCCCUCAGUCUCCAUAAAAUGGCCACUUUCUUGAUUUCCACAUCUGCCAAGCUGGAGGGGUGUCACCUUCUUUGGGUGGCUGCUAGGAGCAAAUGAAAUAGCUCUUGGCACAUGCUUCUUUCUCUGUAACAAUUAUUAAUUACUAUUCUUGUCCUCAUCUUCACUAGGGGGACUCCUGGGAGAAAGACAGUGGACUUUGAUUAAGAAGGGCUUGUGCCCAUCCCAGGGCUGCUGGUCAGUCUCUGGGCCUGUUUUCUCAAUUGGGAAAAGACUUCUGAGUUGUGAGCCAGUCUCAUGAUCUUAGCAUUGUUUAUAGUUUUCACAUAACCUAACAUUUAUUUGAUUACUUUAUGCAUAUUGAACACUGAUCUAAAUAAUUUACGAAUGUUUGUUUCAUUUAUAUAUCUUUAACGUGAUAUUUUAAGUUUUUGAAAUCAAAGUAAAUAUUGCAUUAUCCCAGAUGGCAGAUGAGGAAGUGGAAACACACUGUGGAUACCCAAUUUUCCCAAAGUUUUGCAACAAUUAAGAGGGGAACCAAGCAAUUUGAUCUCAGACUAUGAAGCCUUGAUGAAUAUCCUUCUCCACCACCAAUUCAACUCACUGCAGUGGCCUCCUGGGCACCAGCAUUCCCAGCAUCAAUUCCCCUGACUCAGUGGUGUUGACCAUUCAGUACAGGCCCUGUAGCCAUUUAAAACCAUUUCCAUGGUCACUACUGAUUCAAUUGCACUCAUUUCUACCGACACUGCUUUCCUGCCUUUCUUCUCUUCAUUACGC
This 8203-nucleotide long non-coding RNA is filed under the name Sus scrofa (pig). RNAcentral describes it as "lncRNA (ENSSSCG00065054147.1, ENSSSCG00090003903.1, ENSSSCG00130011234.1, ENSSSCG00160000784.1)". The record is from RNAcentral. Lineage: Eukaryota; Metazoa; Chordata; Mammalia; Artiodactyla; Suidae.